This 6245-nucleotide long non-coding RNA is filed under the name Homo sapiens (human). RNAcentral describes it as "HSALNT0392176". Lineage: Eukaryota; Metazoa; Chordata; Mammalia; Primates; Hominidae. The record is from RNAcentral.
AGACAUCGGGCGACCCUCGUCCCGCCAGGUUUUGGGGUCGCGCAAACGAGCGACGGGGGCUGGGGCUCCGGAUUCAGGUGUUCUUUCUUCAGCGCUCACGGGUUUCUGUCCGUACGCGAUGCGAGCGAACGUCGCGGUCGAGGCUAGGGCCCCGAAGCCCGCAGUAAUCCACGUCUCCCGCCCGCUCCGGGCCCCCAGUGCCGCCGUCGCGGGCGGAGGCGCGAGGUCUGGGCUUUGGCGCCUUCGCAGCCGCAGGCGACAUCCUCUUUCCUAGCUAAAGCCCCAAACGCCCAGGUGGCUUCCUGGGAGAGCACGGCUGAGCCUCCGCCUUCAGAUCAGAACAGGCAGAGCCUCCAAGGGCGGCUUGGGCCCAGUGCCUGCUUAUCCUGCCCGUCUCUCCACACUUCUUCUUUCCCUGUCCGUUGGAGUCCAUUCCUUCCUGGAAAAGCCAAAGCCGCGCUCCCCUAAGAGGCCUGGAUGUGAAGGUGAGUGAGACGCCCUGGCCUCUGGGUGCAAAGGCCGGCGCCUGCCGCUUUCAACACUCAGGAGGCGCGUUUCAGCCCCGCUGGCCCCCGGCCGCAGACUCGGAGCGCUGAGCUCCCACCGUUCCCAUCACCCGACUCCCUUCCCAGGAAUGAGGAGCACCCGGGAAGCUUCAGCCACUACACGAAGGAGGCGCCAAGCCCAAACUCCUCCCCAGCUACCGGCGGGGUCAGUGCAGAGCCGCGGAGGGCACACAUGAACCCUGGCACGCAGCCUCAGGGAGGGGCAGGCUGGAAAUGACCCUGCCUGCAGCUGGGCCAUCAGCCUGACCACCUGCCCCCUGAGCAAACGUUGAUGCAGGUCGGGCGCGGUGGCUCAUGCCUGUAAUCCCAGCACUUUAGGAGCCCGAGGCAGGUGGAUCACCUGAGGUUAGGCGUUCACGACCAGCCUGGCCAACAUGGUGAAACACCGUCGCUACUAAAAAUACAAAAACUAGCCAGGCAUGGUAAUGGGGUGCACCUGUAGUCCAGCUACUCGGGAGGCUGAGGCCCGAGAAUCGCUUGAACCCAGGAGGCGGAGCUUGCAGUGAGCGGAGAUCACCACUCCAGCCUGGGUGACAGAGUGAGACUCCAUCUCAAAAAAAUUAAUUAAAGAAAAAACGCUGAUGCUUUCUGAAAUACAUUUUAUUAUCGCUGUACCAUUCUGGGGCACUGGAGAUGGCAGCUGAGAAGCAGAGAAGCUGGAGACCUGAAGCCUCCACCCUUGGCUGUGGCUGCCGAGAGAGGCCCCUGCAGAGGGAGCCCCAGGCCACACCCAGACACCACAGCCAGCUCACAGUGCGGCCAGAGGGCACAGGCUGCUUGGGGGGUGAGGGUCCCCAUUCCUGCCACCUCUCACAGACCAUGACCCACAGGGCUGGGGGCUUCCCCUGGGAGAAAGUCCUUCCCUCCCCAUGGCCCAGCCCUGGGGAAAGAAAGCAGAGACUAACUCAGGGACUGCAGUAGGCUGAGGACAAGGGAGGUGGGCUUGGGGUGAAGGCCCCCCCUCACUCGCAGAGAAGGGACACUACCGGCAGUAGAGGACAGGGAGGCAGGACGACGGCAGUUAGAGACGAGGCGUUUCAGGUGAACUGUAUGUAGUGUUACUCCGGACGUGAGCAUGGCCUGGGUCAGUCGAAUGAAAUGAGCUGGGCCUCGCUGCCCUGUGCCGGCGGCCCCUGUGCCUGCGGUUGCUGGGCCACGGGGGGCUGCUGCUGGGGGGGACCGCCAGAGGGUGCCAUCUGUGCAGGAGGAAAGCAGGCAUGGCCCUGGUCCUCCCUUCCCCAGCCCAGGGAGGAAGGCUUUUGUCCCAGCAGAGCCACAGACCCACAAGUGCUUGUAAUCCAUGUCCACGGACUGCAGCUCAUGCAGCCAGCUCAUGCGGCCUUUGCCUUUCAAGUAAAUUCACGGUUUUUCCUGUCUACACUUGCGGAUGCGCGUAUCUGCCCUGAGACUUGUGUCCUCGUUCUGUCUGCUGAGAAGGGGCCUCGGGUAUGCGUCUCCCCCUGUGAGCAGACGUACGGGACAAUCCCCACUGGGGCCAGGGGUCCCAUUGCUAAACCGUGAAGCCUGAGGGUGCCCUGCGGGUGCCGCUGUGAGGCCCCGGGAAUGGCUCACCUGCUGGUACAUGGGCUGCUGCCCCGCGAUGUAGGGCUGCUGGGGUGGCAGAGACGCAUCCUGGCUUGGGAGGGUGGUCAUGAGAUUCUGUUGUGAGAAGACGUCAGAUGUGAGAGAGUAGCCCUGUGACCAGGCAGGCGGGGAUGUUUCUGGCUUGCAACAAUCCAAAGGUGACCACAGGGAGCACCCAGAGAGUGGAGGGGGAGGAGCAGAAGGGGUGGAGCCCACCCAGUGCCUGCCAGCCUCACCAAAGGACCCUCAGCAUCAUCAACUGCUCCCCCACCCUGGCCCCCAGCAGGGCCUGGAGGUCACUGUACCUGCAUGUUGUAAGGCUGGUAGCCCAUGGAGACUGACUGGCUCCCCAUGUAGCCCAUGGUGCUGGACUGCGGAGGCUGAGAGAUGGCCGGGAGGCUCUGUGGGGCCUGGGAGGCCACGUUCUGCGGAGGGAAUGAGUGCCAUGGGAGAAGGGGCUGGGGCUGGGGCUGGGGCUGGGGCUGGCCCUGGAAGGAGAGGAGCGGCCUUCCUGUGUACCUGGUAGCCCGCUGUGGGAGUAGGCUGGUAGGAUGAGUAAGCGGGGCUGGCGGUGGGUCCGGCCUGGGCCUGGGGGGCCGCCUGCGCCCCAGUGGCCCCUGCUGGGUACAUGUAGGCACUCACCAUGCUGGGAUCUGUGACAAACAAGACAGGGGAGAUGGUUCAGCCAGGGCAACAGGGAGGAGAGGAAGGGACACCCUACUCUUGAGUUUUACUUUUUUUUUUUUUUUUUUGAGAUGGAGUCCUGCUCUGUCACCAGGCUGGAGUGCAGUGGCACAAUCCUGGCUCACUGCAACCUCUGCCUCCCGGGUUCAAGCGAUUCUCCUGCCUCAGCCUCCCGAGUAGCUGGGAUUACGGGCGUACGCCACUACGCCCGGCUAAUUUUUUUUUGUACUUUUAAUAAAGAUGGGGUUUCAUCAUGUUGGCCAGGAUUGUCUUGAUCUCCUGACCUUGUGAUCCGCCCGCCUCGGCCUCCCAAAGUGCUGGGAUUACAGGCGUGAGCCACCGCGCCCGGCCGAGUUUUACUUUUUUUUUGAGAUAGUCUGUCACGCAGGCUGGAGUGCAGUGGCGCGAUCUCAGCUCACUGCAACCUCUGCUUCCUGGGUUGAAGCAAUUCUCCUGCCUCAGCCUCCCGAGCAGCUGGGAUUACAGGCGUGCACCACCACACCCAGCUAAGUUUUUGUAUUUUUAGGAGAGACGGGUUUCACCAUGUUGGUCAGGCUGGUGUCAAACUCCUGACCUCAGGUGAUCCACCCGCCUCGGCCUCCCGAAGUGCUGGGAUUAUAGGCGUGAGCCACCGCCCGGCCAGGAGUUUUCCUUUUUGUUGUGACUUUUGGAACCAAGUUCAGGUUUCACGUUUCUAAAAAAAAGGAACAUAGGCGGGGCGUGGUGGCUCAUGCUUGUAAUCCCAGCACUUUGGGAGGCCGAGGCAGGCGGAUCAUGAUGGCAGGAGUUCGAGACCAGGCUGUCUAACAUAGUAAAACCCUGUCUCUAAUAAAAAUACAAAAACUAGCUGGGCAUGGUGGCAGGCGCCUGUAAUCCCAGCUACGCAGGAGGCUGAGGCAGGAGAAUUGCUUGAACCUGGGAGGCGGAGAAUGCCGUGAGCUGACGUCGCACCACUGCACUCCAGCCUGGGCGACAGAGCGAGACUUCGUCUCAAAAAAGAAGAUAAACCAACAAGGAUGGGAGGAGAAUCCUAGAAUGGAAUGAAAUCAGAAAAAAUGAACCAAACUGUAUUUGAAAUGAGUGACAUGGUCUGACCAAUGGGAUGGGAUAGUGAAUUCCAGUAACUUCUGAACCCAAAAUCUGGACUCCACGGCCUCAGGCUACAAAUGACAAGAACUACAGACAAAUGUUACACUCCAGUUAGGAGGCAUCGUCUCCACAGUGGGCCAGGUUAGCAUUCUUAAAACUACUUUUUGUGUAUUCUAGGGCUGAGCAAUUGAGUAUAUUGAAAACAAUGCAAAAGAAAACUGUGCUAUUGGAUUAAAAUUGCAAGUACUGGAAUUAACUCAUGGAUUUUUUUUUUUUUUUUGAGACGGAGUCUCGCUCUGUCACCCAGGCUGGAGGGCAAUGGCAUGAUCUUGGCUCACUGCAAGUUCCACCUCCCAGGUUCCAGUGAUUCUCUUGCCUCAGCCUCCCAAGUAGCUGGGAUUACAGGUGUGCACCAUCACGCCUGGCUAAUUUUUGUAUUUUUAGUAGACGGGGUUUCACCAUGUUGGCCAGGCCAGUCUCCAACUCCUGACCUCAGGUGAGCCACGCGCCUUGGCCUCCCAAAGUGUUGGGAUUACAGGCAUGAGCCACCGCACCUGGCUGCACUCACGGUUUUUAUCAUAUACAAAGACGCAUGUAUUCGCACAUACACAGACGCACCCACAACUGUGCACUUGUAUUCACAUACACACUUUCCAGCUCUGUCUGCUAACAACCUAGAGCUGUGAGCACACCCAGAAUCUUGAUCUUGGCUUCUAACCAAGAUCCAGACCACCCUCCACUAAAGGGAACAAGGGCUCCUUGGAGAAAUGGCUGCUUCCAGGGUUGAGAACAUACAAGACGAGCACAGAGUAUCUAGCAACAGAAACUCAGGAGCAACCCAAACCAAUGGCCCUACGCAACAGAGAAGCCACUGACGCCUCCCAUGGCCACACCUGGGAAACUUUGAGCAUCAAAGUAACGGGGCUGGGCACGGUGGCUCACACCUGUAAUCCCAGCACUUUGGAAGGCCGAGAAGGGCGGAUCACUCGAGGUCAGGAGUUUGAGGUCAGCUUGGGCAACACAGAAAGACCUCAUUUCUACAUUUUUUUUGAGAUGGAGUUUCACUCUGUUGCUCAGGCUAGAGUGUGGUGGUGCAACCUCGGCUCACUGCAACCUCCACUUCCCGGGCUCAAUUCAUUCUCUGCCUCUGCCUCCCGAAUAGCUGGGAUUACAGGCACGUGCCACCACGCCCACCUAAUGUUUGUAUGUUUAGUAGAGACAGGGUCUCACCAUCCUGGCAGGCUGGUCUUGAACUCCUGACCUCAUGACCCACCUGCCUCAGCCUCCCAAUGUGCUGGGACUACAGGCGUGAGCCACCGCACCCAGCCCUUUUUUUUUUAAUUAGCCAGGCAUGGUGGUGCAAUCCUGUAGUCCCAGCUACUCAAGAGGCUGAGAUGGGAGGAUUGCUUGAGCCCAGGAGGUCGAGGCUGCAGUGAACCAUGAUCAUGGCACUGCACUCCAGCCUGGAUGACAGCGAGACUCUAAAAAUAAAGAGUGAUGACAGAGGAGUGUCACCUUUGAAAGAAAAAAUAAACACGUCUCCACGCUGCUGUGACUGACGAUAAGCAGGAGAGUGGGGAAGAGUACCUCCCGCCAGUGGAAAGACAACAGCAGAAUUAGAAGGCGCUAUUUGGCAAACACCGUAAUAAACACAGGCAACAUUAGCAAAAAAUGCUAGACCUUGAGGAGUCCCAGGGUAUUUGGAAGGCCUCCCCCAAGAGACAUCUGUAAAGGGCAAAACAGUCACUUCACAGUGAAAACCCCUGGCAGACCCCGUCUCAGCCGAACGGCCAGCAAUGGGACUGACGGGAUGCACGUCACCUCGGCUGCCACUCUGAGAAAAGCACAGCCUUAUGGUCACCGCGUGGAGACACCAGACAAACCUGAGCUGAGGACGGUCUGCCGAAUGACAGGCCAGUGCUCUUGGGACAGUAGAUGUCACAAAACACAGAAGCUGACUGGGGAACACUCUAGAUUAAAGGCGGGGGGGGGGGGGGCAAAUGCCACGCAGCAGGGGGCGUGCUGUUUACAGGACACCACUGGGACAGUCCAUGAGGGCUGAGCCUGCUACAGACGAGGAUCGGCAGCCCAGCACCUGCUGGUUUCAGGAAAUGCUCGCUGUCGCAUUCAGGGGAGAGGGCAGUACCUGCCACGCACGGACUGAAACACGGCUCCAGCAGGAAAGCCUGUGUGAGUGCGUUUGCAUGGAAACAGGAAAAAGCAGGGACAACAUUCACAUCGGGGCAACUGGGAAAACCCUUCGCACCAUUCUUACUGCUUUUCUGUAAAUUCGGCUAAAAUAAAGACGAGGGAUAAAAGGCA